Molecule: ribosomal RNA, 490 nt
Filed under: uncultured bacterium
Lineage: Bacteria
Description: partial 16S ribosomal RNA
Rfam family: Bacterial small subunit ribosomal RNA
Source: RNAcentral
GAUGAACGCUAGCUACAGGCUUAACACAUGCAAGUCGCGGGGCAGCAUGGGGGUUGCUUGCAAUCCCCGAUGGCGACCGGCGCACGGGUGAGUAACGCGUAUCCAACCUGCCCUUCACCACGGGAUAACCCGGCGAAAGUCGGACUAAUACCGUCUGUUGUCCAUUGACGGCAUCCGAUUUGGACGAAAGGCUUGGCGGUGAGGGAUGGGGAUGCGUCCGAUUAGCCAGACGGCGGGGUAACGGCCCACCGUGGCUACGAUCGGUAGGGGUUCUGAGAGGAAGGUCCCCCACACUGGAACUGAGACACGGUCCAGACUCCUACGGGAGGCAGCAGUGAGGAAUAUUGGUCAAUGGGCGUAAGCCUGAACCAGCCAAGUAGCGUGCAGGAUGACGGCCCUAUGGGUUGUAAACUGCUUUUAUGCGGGGAUAAAGUGGCCCACGUGUGGGCUUUUGCAGGUACCGCAUGAAUAAGGACCGGCUAAUUCCGUG